AGCUGUUCCUGCACCUGCAGCUCGCUGCAGAGCGCCUGCAGCAUCAACCCAGGUGAGCAUGGUGCACCUUCAGCCAUUCCUGCACCUCCAGCAUCAGCCCAGGUGAGCAUGGUGCACCUUCAGCCAUUCCUGCACCUCCAGCAUCAGCCCAGGUGAGCAUGGUGCAUUUAUAGACAUUGCUGCACCUGCAGCUCGCUGCAGAGCGCCUUCAGCAUCAACCCAGGUGAGCUCUGCUGCAUUUAUAGACAUUGCUGCACCUGCAGCAUCA
This is a long non-coding RNA of Oenanthe melanoleuca, 268 nucleotides long. RefSeq lists it as uncharacterized. NCBI's taxonomy places the organism in Eukaryota, Metazoa, Chordata, Aves, Passeriformes, Muscicapidae. The transcript has 3 exons. The record is from RefSeq and is a predicted model, not a curated record.